This 1430-nucleotide ribosomal RNA is filed under the name metagenome. Its description in RNAcentral is "bacterial SSU rRNA". It matches the Rfam family "Archaeal small subunit ribosomal RNA". The record is from RNAcentral.
GUUGAUCCUGCAGGAGGUUGCUGCUAUUAGGGUUCGACUAAGCCAUGCAAGUCUAGGGGAUCUUCGGAUCACCGGCGAAAUGCUCAGUAACACGUUGAUAAUCUGACCUUAGGUCAGGGAUAACCUUGGGAAACUGAGGCUAACACCUGAUAUGGGAAUUGUUCUGGAAUGAGUUUUCCUUUAAAAGCAAUGCCUAAGGAUGAGUCAGCGGCUGAUUAGGUUGUUGGUGGGGUAACGGCCCACCAAGCCGACGAUCAGUACGGGUCUUGAGAGAGAUAGCCCGGAGAAGGGAACUGAGAUACUGUCCCUAGCCCUACGGGGUGCAGCAGGCGCGAAACCUCUACAAUGCACGAAAGUGUGAUAGGGGAACCCUAAGUGCUCAGCUAUGCUGGGCUUUUGCCAAGAGUAAAUAUCUUGGCGAAUAAGUGGUGGGUAAGACUGGUGCCAGCCGCCGCGGUAACACCAGCGCCACAAGUGGCAACCGGUAUUAUUGGGCCUAAAGCGUCCGUAGCCGGUCAGACAAAUCUUUUGUGAAAUUAUCAGGCUCAACUUGAUAGCGUGCAGAAGACACUGUUUGACUUGGAACCGGGAGGAGUCAGAGGUAUUUCUGGGGGAGCGGUAAAAUGCGAUAAUCCUAGGAGGACCACCUAUGGCGAAGGCAUCUGACCAGAACGGAUUCGACGGUGAGGGACGAAAGCCAGGGGAGCAAACCGGAUUAGAUACCCGAGUAGUCCUGGCUGUAAACUCUGCGAGCUAGGUGUUGCAUAUUCUUCGGGAAUAUGCAGUAUCGUAGCGAAGGCGUUAAGCUCGCCGCCUGGGAAGUAUGGUCGCAAGGCUGAAACUUAAAGGAAUUGGCGGGGAGACACUACAAGAGGUGCGGCGUGCGGUUUAAUCUAACUCAACACAGAGAAUCUCACCAGAAGCGACGGCAGGAUGAAAGUCAGAUUGAAGGUUUUACUUGACGAGCCGAGAGGUGGUGCAUGGCCGCCGUCAGCUCGUGCCGUAAGGUGUCCAGCUAAGUCUGGUAACGAGCGAGAUCUAUGCCUACAAUUGCUAACGAGUCCUUUUGGAUGCUUGAGCACAUUGUGGGGACUGCCUUCGAAAGGAGGAGGAAGGUGUAGGCUACGGUAGGUCUGUAUGCCCCGAAUCUUCUGGGCUACACGCGCGCAACAAUGGUAGGGACAAUGGGAUACGACUCCGAAAGGAGAAGUUAAACCUCGAAACCCUAUCUUAGUUUAGAUUGAGGUCUGUAACCCGGCCUCAUGACAAUGGAAUCUCUAGUAAUCGGACGUCAUCAGCGUCCGGUGAAUACGUCCCUGUCUCUUGCACACACCGCCCGUCAAAUCAUUCGAGCAGGGUUUAGGUGAGACUCAGCUUUUUGGCUGACUCGAAUCUAAGCUCAGUGAGAAGGGUUAAGUCGUCACGAGGUA